This 459-nucleotide ribosomal RNA is filed under the name uncultured bacterium. RNAcentral's name for it is "partial 16S ribosomal RNA". It matches the Rfam family "Bacterial small subunit ribosomal RNA", at positions 338 to 795 of the family's 1533-position model. The record is from RNAcentral.
CCUACGGGUGGCAGCAGUGAGGAAUAUUGGUCAAUGGGCGGAAGCCUGAACCAGCCAAGUAGCGUGCAGGAUGACGGCCCUACGGGUUGUAAACUGCUUUUAUACGGGAAUAACACGCCUUACGUGUAGGGCUUUGUAUGUACCGUAUGAAUAAGGACCGGCUAAUUCCGUGCCAGCAGCCGCGGUAAUACGGAAGGUCCGGGCGUUAUCCGGAUUUAUUGGGUUUAAAGGGUGCGUAGGCGGUCCGUUAAGUCAGCGGUAAAAUUGCGGGGCUCAACCCCGUCGAGCCGUUGAAACUGGCAGACUGGAGUUGGCGUGAAGUACGCGGAAUGCGCGGUGUAGCGGUGAAAUGCAUAGAUAUCGCGCAGAACUCCGAUUGCGAAGGCAGCGUACCGGCGCCAGACUGACGCUGAGGCACGAAAGCGUGGGGAUCGAACAGGAUUAGAUACCCCAGUAGUC